RNAcentral lists this ribosomal RNA (372 nucleotides) under Triticum aestivum (bread wheat). RNAcentral describes it as "partial small subunit ribosomal RNA". Lineage: Eukaryota; Viridiplantae; Streptophyta; Magnoliopsida; Poales; Poaceae. The record is from RNAcentral.
AUGUACAUUAACAGCAAACAAGUUAAAGUAUCAAUAAAUGGAAGUUUGGGUAUAGAGAAUUUGAUGCUUGUUGGGUGUAUACAGGAGUAUAAAUGGAUUUUCUUCUUGUUGAACGAAGUUGAACUUGUCAUUAUGCUUCACGGCUGGGGGUGGGAGGCGUGCGGCGGCCGGAGGUGGGAGGCCGUUCAAGUUUGCGUAUUUCGCUCGGCCAGCGCUCGACGAGGAGCACCCCGGUCUCGCUCGUGUGUGGGUUUUGGAGUAUAUUCUACCGAUGUGUUCUGCUCUCCUCUAUUUUCAACUGAAUCGUGCUGCCAUGUGUGGAUUUCCCCUCUAAUUCCACAACAAGUUGAAUCCCGCAAAUUCUACUGGUAA